UCGGAUUGCAGCAGUUUGCUCGAGGGUAUGUUGCUUAGCUUCCAGGUUGAAUUCUAGGCCGAAUCAAACCUUGAUCUUGUAAGCAAUUUUGGAGUCCUCAUGUAGCUCUACAGCAUAGAGCAAUUAGCCAGCAAAAUCAUCGAGUGGAUUAGGAGUUAAUCGCAGUGCAAAAUCGGGUUUGAGUCAGGAUCAGUGACUGAAUGGGGUCGCCGUCAGCAGAGGGGAGCUCACCGGUGACGCCGCGUGUCUAGACCCGUGGCAUCCGUACAUCGCCGUUGGCCCCGCUCGUCAGUCCUCGGUGUGUCCUACAGCUGGCCACGGCGCCCCCGGUCGCGUGGACCGCCAUUCCCUCCCAGUUCGCUCUCUCUCGCGUGCGUCGUCUUCUCCGCGUCGCCACCGCUACUUCGGCGAGCUCGCGCGCUCGCGUCUCAGCGUCUCCGGCCAAGCGACUCCGCCCAGCGCUCCGCUAGCUUCUCCGCAACACUGUCGUCAAGUUGGCUGCGGCUGCCGAGCUUUGGUAAGCCCGCAUUGUCUUCUCCGUCGCGAGCUUACCUCGCCGAAGCUCUGCCAUGGUCACCGGCGUCGUGGCCAGGGAUCUGUAGUCCGCCAUUUCGCUUCACUCUUGUCCCAAAAGCACCGCUAGGUUGUGCUGAUGCUCGUCCGAGCUCUCUUUCGCCUCGUCUCUGACCAGAGACGCCGGCGGUCGGCCGCGCACCACCGCCGUGCCGCCAUUCGCGAGGGCGAGGUACCUAGGGUCCGGUAGAGUUAGGGUUUCGGGUACCAUUCGAUGCGGAAUUGAGUGAGGAACACGAUGGUGCCCUUGGCCAUCGCCGAGACCUCGCCGUCGACGAGUUCUCCGGCAGUCAAGUCGCAGCUCUACUCUCGGGUCACUGACGUGUGGGGUCCGUUGACUCGCGGGGUCCCCCUGUCAGUCUCCCUUUUCUCCUUUGUUUGAUUUAGGGUUUGAGCUAUUUUUGCAAAAAAUCAUAUCUCUGGUUCCUGUGAUCCAAAAAUUGUGAAACCAAUUUUGUGAGAUUCUUUGAGAUGACUAGUUUUUACGAAAAAUAUAAAAUGUACCAUGUUCUCUGGAAAAAAUAAUUGUUAUGAUUUAAUCUUGAUUAUUUAAGUAUAAAUUCAUAUCUCUUGAUGUACUGCUCCUUUUGUUCUGAAAAUUUUAUGCUAGGCUCUGAGUGGAAUGAGAAUGCUGUGAUAAAUAUUUCAUGAUUUUUGGAGUACUAUAUCUGUGUUGUGUAAUUUAUUUUUGAGAUAUGGCUUGUUUUCAUAUUUAAAUCACAAUAAAUGUUUGGUGCUUAUGCUGGUGCUCUACUCUGGUGUCAAGCUUGCUUAUGGUAAUAGUAGUAUGUAAAUAAUCUGAAAUCUGUUGUUUGACACUAUCUAAGCCUUGUUUCUUAAUUUAUGAAAUAAGCACCAUGUCACAUGUCAAAUGCUUAUCUUAAUUUUAACAUGUGCAGUUGCUCUGAAAUUUUUAUGGUAAUGUAUAGAUGCCAUACUUGUGCUUCUGUAAUUUUUGUAGAUGUUUCUGAGCACUUUUGCUAGUAUCUUGUAAUUAUGUCCCUUUAUAGAAUUAAAUUGAUAAAUGCCUUAUUAUUAAAUAUCUAGGGGUUAACAUAUGAUGUUCUGGUUGUCUUAUGAUGUGCUUGUGCUUGUAAGCCUUUUGGUUAGCACUAGGUAUGCUUUGGCUAUGUCAUUAAAUAAUUAAUUAGAGGGUUAAGAGCUGUUCUGGACAGCAAGAGAGUAAUCCAACCUUUGCUUAUUGAUAACUUGGUUUCCUGGAAGACUUGUCUAAAUCAAAGUUCUUGUAAACUUUAUGAACUAGCUGUGGUUUAAAUUUGGGGUCAAUUGGUCCAAUAGUUUAAAAGUUAUGGCUUUUCCAAGUUGGGUUCCAGAAAUAGGUGUUCUCUGUUUUUCUGGGACAGAACCUUGAACUUUGUUUAAAUGACUUGUUCAACUUAUGAAUCUUGCUGUGAUGUUUAAAGAUGAAAUGUAGACAAUUUCAUGAGCUUUCCAGAAUGUUCUCAUUUAUGUUUGUUGGAUCUUUAUAACAAUAGUUAUGACCGAUUUACUGAGCUGUUCUGUUAUAUGAUGCUUGUUGUUUAUAGUUUGACUCGCUAUGUCUUGCUAGGUUAAUUAGUUAUCCUUUGUGAGUUUACCUUAGAUGUUUGCUCAGUAAAUGAGUGUCCAGUGAAGUUCUAAUUGCAUUGUCAAGCAUUCAUUCCCAUCCCGUAUGCACCCAUUCUUACUUACCAUACAUGCAAUAGGUGCACCGGACGCGACAGCUUCUUUCGAGCUCCAGGUGAACCCCGAAGGCCAGGAGGGCAAUCUGGAGGUGGAGGACCAGCAAGCCAGACACGAGGAGCCCGAAGAGGAGGUUGAGUGCCCAAAUCACGAGCCGGCAUCAUUCGUGAAAGGCAAGCGUGGAGCAUCUUAAGUCUCCCACUUUAAUUUAGAAAGCUUAUUGAUUAUGUUAUCUCUAUUGAUGCAUUACGUAUAGGAGUUGUGAUGAAACCCUUGCUGCAUUUUACUCAAUCCUUGUCCAGAUAUCUUACCACUACCUGGUUAUAGAGUUAGGUUCGAGUAGUGGCUUAGACAUUGUUGGGUAUUUUAAACGCAAACAGAAAAAUCCGCAAGCGCACGGAUACCGAUGUAGCCUUCACCCGAGAGUAUUCCAGAGUAUCGAUUUUCCACAGGGAACGUGAGUGUACUAAUUAAGAAUCAAGAUCGCCCAAGGAUAACUAUAUAAUUUUUUUUGGUGGGAAGAGAGGAAGUUUCCUGAGAGUUCUCUAGUUGAUCUAAGAAUCAAGAAUUACUUCAAGAUUAUCUAUAUCGGGACAUCAGAGCACUAAGCACAGAAAGAGAUGAGAAGGGGGCUAGGAAGGUCUGACUACGGUCCUACAAACACCGAUCUGAACAUGGUGGAAUACCUCGACCGUUAGGGCUGUCACUACCCUAGGGCUACCACAACAAUCCGCAGGAUUGGGUGCAAUUCCAGGUAAUUGCAAGACUAAACACCACGUCUAAUCUAUUAAUUACUACUCUAGCGUUAUAAAGACUAGAGCACUUGAUGCAAGCAGGAAUCCAAUAAAUAACUUGAAUUAAAGAACUCAGGAAUUAUGAAUUGAAGAACCUGGAGAACGAUGAAGGACGAACCAGUUGCUGCAAAAGUACAAUAUUGAGGAAGAUCCGACAGAUCCGGCUCCUCCUCCGCUCUCCUCUUCUCUCUCCCUAUUUUCUAUAUUACAACUAGAACUAACUAGAACUAGAACUAGAGGAACUAGAACUAGAACUAGAUGAACUAGAACUAGAUCUAGAUGAACUAGAGGUAGAACUAGAAGAACUAGAGGGAUCCUCUCUACUUGGAUGAAGAAUUGAAACCCUAGCUUUGAUUCUGU
RNAcentral lists this long non-coding RNA (3410 nucleotides) under Sorghum bicolor (sorghum). RNAcentral describes it as "long non-coding RNA (SBIC_LNC010622)". The record is from RNAcentral. Lineage: Eukaryota; Viridiplantae; Streptophyta; Magnoliopsida; Poales; Poaceae.